This 322-nucleotide ribosomal RNA is filed under the name uncultured eukaryote. Its description in RNAcentral is "partial 18S ribosomal RNA". It matches the Rfam family "Eukaryotic small subunit ribosomal RNA", at positions 1470 to 1796 of the family's 1831-position model. The record is from RNAcentral.
CCCUUAGAUGUUCUGGGCCGCACGCGUGCUACACUGAACGGUUCAAUGGGUAAGGUAGUGCGAAAGCAUGACCUAAUCUCGAAAUCCGUUCGUGCUGGGGAUAGAAGCUUGCAAUUAUCCUUCUUGAACGAGGAAUACCUUGUAAGCGUGAGUCAUCAUCUCACGCUGAAUACGUCCCCGCCCUUUGUACACACCGCCCGUCGCUCCUACCGAUUGAGUGUUCCGGUGAGGCUUCGGGAGAACUGGGUGGAUUGUGUUUCACAAACUGCUCGGUUUGAACUUAGUCAAACCUUAUCACUUAGAGGAAGGAGAAGUCGUAACA